RNAcentral lists this ribosomal RNA (283 nucleotides) under uncultured bacterium. Its description in RNAcentral is "partial 16S ribosomal RNA". It matches the Rfam family "Bacterial small subunit ribosomal RNA", at positions 337 to 612 of the family's 1533-position model. The record is from RNAcentral.
UCCUACGGGGCGCAGCAGUAGGGAAUCUUCCACAAUGGGCGAAAGCCUGGUGGAGCAACGCCGCGUGGGUGAAGUAGGUCUUCGGAUCGUAAAACCCUGUUGUUAGAGAAGAAAGUGCGUGAGAGUAACUGUUCACGUUUCUACGGUAUCUAACCAGAAAGCCACGGCUACCUACGUGCCAGCAGCCGCGGUAAUACGUAGGUGGCAAGCGUUAUCCGGAUUUAUUGGGCGUAAAGGGAACGCAGGCGGAUUUUUAAGUCUGUUGUGAAAGCCUUCGCCUUAA